CCUACGGGAGGCAGCAGUGGGGAAUCUUGCGCAAUGGGCGAAAGCCUGACGCAGCCAUGCCGCGUGAAUGAUGAAGGUCUUAGGAUUGUAAAAUUCUUUUAGCAGGGACGAUAAUGACGGUACCUGCAGAAAAAGCCCCGGCUAACUUCGUGCCAGCAGCCGCGGUAAU
RNAcentral lists this ribosomal RNA (169 nucleotides) under uncultured bacterium. RNAcentral describes it as "partial 16S ribosomal RNA". It matches the Rfam family "Bacterial small subunit ribosomal RNA", at positions 338 to 524 of the family's 1533-position model. The record is from RNAcentral.